ACGAACGCUGGCGGCGUGCCUAACACAUGCAAGUCGGACGCACCACUUCGGUGGUGAGUGGCGAACGGGUGAGUAAUACAUAAGUAACCUGCCCUUGCGAGGGGGAUAACUAUUAGAAAUGAUAGCUAAGACCGCAUAGGUAUGAUGAUCGCAUGAUCGUGAUAUUAAAAAUCCGAAUGGAUUGCGCAAGGAUGGACUUAUGACGCAUUAGCUAGUUGGUGAGGUAACGGCUCACCAAGGCGACGAUGCGUAGCCGGCCUGAGAGGGUGGACGGCCACACUGGGACUGAGACACGGCCCAGACUCCUACGGGAGGCAGCAGUAGGGAAUUUUCGGCAAUGGGGGAAACCCUGACCGAGCAACGCCGCGUGAGGGAAGAAGUAUUUCGGUAUGUAAACCUCUGUUAUAAAGGAAGAAAGAUAACUGUAGGAAAUGACAGUUAAGUGACGGUACUUUAUCAGAAAGCCACGGCUAACUACGUG
RNAcentral lists this ribosomal RNA (481 nucleotides) under uncultured bacterium. RNAcentral's name for it is "bacterial SSU rRNA". It matches the Rfam family "Bacterial small subunit ribosomal RNA", at positions 29 to 507 of the family's 1533-position model. The record is from RNAcentral.